RNAcentral lists this ribosomal RNA (479 nucleotides) under uncultured Actinomycetes bacterium. RNAcentral describes it as "bacterial SSU rRNA". It matches the Rfam family "Bacterial small subunit ribosomal RNA", at positions 9 to 520 of the family's 1533-position model. The record is from RNAcentral. Lineage: Bacteria; Bacillati; Actinomycetota; Actinomycetes.
GAGUUUGAUCUUGGCUCAGGAUGAACGCUGGCGGCGUGCUUAACACAUGCAAGUCGAACGGUCGCAAGACAGUGGCGCACGGGUGAGUAACACGUAGCUAACCUGCCUUCGAGUGCGGAAUAACGUCCCGAAAGGGAUGCUAAUACCGCAUAAGCUCACGGGAUGUAGAUGCCUGUGAGAAAAGGGGAAACUCGCUUGAAGAGGGGGCUGCGACCCAUCAGGUAGUUGGUGCGGUAAAAGCGCACCAAGCCGACGACGGGUAGGGGGCCUGAGAGGGUGGUCCCCCACACUGGGACUGAGACACGGCCCAGACUCCUACGGGAGGCAGCAGUGAGGAAUAUUGCACAAUGGGCGAAAGCCUGAUGCAGCGACGCCGCGUGGGUGAAGAAGGUCUUCGGAUCGUAAAGCCCUUUUCUGCGUGACGAGACAAGGACGGUAGCGCAGGAAUAAGUCUCGGCUAACUACGUGCCAGCCCGCCG